GAUGAACGCUGGCGGCGUGCCUAAUACAUGCAAGUCGAGCGAACAGACGAGGAGCUUGCUCCUCUGACGUUAGCGGCGGACGGGUGAGUAACACGUGGAUAACCUACCUAUAAGACUGGGAUAACUUCGGGAAACCGGAGCUAAUACCGGAUAAUAUAUUGAACCGCAUGGUUCAAUAGUUAAAGACGGUUUUGCUGUCACUUAUAGAUGGUUCCGCGCCGCAUUAGCUAGUUGGUAAGGUAACGGCUUACCAAGGCAACGAUGCGUAGCCGACCUGAGAGGGUGAUCGGCCACACUGGAACUGAGACACGGUCCAGACUCCUACGGGAGGCAGCAGUAGGGAAUCUUCCGCAAUGGGCGAAAGCCUGACGGAGAAACGCCGCGUGAGUGAUGAAGGUCUUCGGAUCGUAAAACUCUGUUAUUAGGGAAGAACAAAUGUGUAAGUAACUAUGCACGUCUUGACGGUACCUAAUCAGAAAGCCACGGCUAACUACGUG
RNAcentral lists this ribosomal RNA (497 nucleotides) under uncultured bacterium. Its description in RNAcentral is "partial 16S ribosomal RNA". It matches the Rfam family "Bacterial small subunit ribosomal RNA", at positions 28 to 507 of the family's 1533-position model. The record is from RNAcentral.